Lolium perenne is the source of this 1467-nucleotide non-coding RNA. The record is from RefSeq and is a predicted model, not a curated record. Lineage: Eukaryota; Viridiplantae; Streptophyta; Magnoliopsida; Poales; Poaceae.
AUGCAUUGGUCGUUGAUGCAAUUUUAGAUAUGGAGCAAUUUGCUCUGCCAUGUUAGUUUCUUGACAAAAUUAGGAAUUGGGUUUGAGGCUAUGGGCUAUCUGAAAAGCUAGAUACAGUAUUUUCCUACUUGUGUUUAUCAUGUAUAGGGGCACUGGUUGUUUCCUACUUUGUUGCAAAUUUUAAAAUGACAUGUAUUCGGAUAUCAUUAGUUUUACUUUCUCAUUUUAACUAUGUGCAGUACUACUACUUACAUUCAGCCAGGAUAGCCUUAAAAUUUAAUAAUAUGAUCAACUUGGGAGGAGGCUGAUUGUUCAUUCAAUGGAUUUGUGUUGAUGUGUUUCUGUUGCGGGCAUGACAAUGUGGUCAGUGUAGUGGAUGAUCUUCUAUCACUGGUAGGUGAUAAUAGUUCGGGACACUACUUUACCUCCACACAAGAUUUUGAUCUUCCGAAUAAAUUAGGGGAGGUAGUUCAGUGCUAUGUGUGCUUGUGUAUUAUGUCUGGUCCAGUUCUGAUAAGAUUACAUACUUUUUCUUAGCUUACAAUUCCAAGAAAAAAUAGUGUUUGUGUGUGAUUAAGCGACUUGCUUUCAUUCCAUUCCAUAUUCUUAUACCUUCUUUUUAUAGUUACAUACUCUUACCUUGGCCUCAUGCUUGAACUCUGCGGAGGACGAAGAACACGGCAAAGAAGUUUAGAUGAUCUGUAGCUCCUAGGUUCUCGUUGAGAAUUGCUGAUUUUUUUUAAUAUUUUGUUUGGUUUUUGUUACCCUGGAGUCUUGAAGGUUAGAGCAAUUAUGACCCUGGAGGUUCAGAGGCCACACAUUGGCUCAGGGCCUUCAUAGUGUGCAUUGUGCCCACGAAGGAUUGGGGCAUUGGAAAAAUCAAUUACUGGAUUUUCCAAAGGGCAGUUCUGAAACGUUACAUGGAGAGUGAUGCUCGGAGUAGAUAGUUUCAUAUUUAUUUUGCAAGGAACACAAUGAGUUCAACAAGAGGAGGAAAGUAACAGUCUACAUCUCAAAUGGUUUCAGUAAAGUUGUAGGUUGCCCUUGCACAAGGCUUGACAAGGCCGAGCUGAACGUCGAACAAGACCAGCGCAUGUGACAAUGCACACCGUUGAGGAACUCGGGAACGAGUGGGUGCACAUGCAUGGCCUACCCCUUCGAUAGGUGGCGGCACGACCGCACAAUAGUAGGUGUUUGAAGUAAAACUUCUGUAGAUUUCAGAUUGAAUUCCAUAUACAUUGAUUGCUCUAGGAAGUAGUAGGUGUUUGAAGUAUUGUUGCUGCCUUAAAUUAAAUCCACUGUAAUUUUUGGGUUCAUUCAACACAUCUCAUCCCUGUUUUUACAAUCUUGCCUCAGUUGCCUUGCACUAAAUAUGUUUAAUCAUCUUCUGGGAGAGUGUGCAUGCCAACAGGUUGGCAUUAACAAAUGAGGAUGUGUGUCUUUGUUAAUAUGUUUUGUUCAGUUUCA